GCAAAACCGAUGAGCAAGAGGAGUACCUGGUCAGGUCACCUUUCAGAGAGCCGUGGAUGGUGGGAUCACGGCAGAGAACUUUCCAGCGAAUGGACUUGCGAGGGCAGCGCAAACGGCAAAAUGCUCAGUAGCGUCUGACGGGGCCCGCACCCGUUAUCCGGGCGGCGCGUAUGAAUGUACGUGGAACGAGCGGGCGCUUUGCGUCAACUUGGGUGGUACCGCAGGAUGGUUUCAAGUCUUGUCCCAAAU
This 249-nucleotide non-coding RNA is filed under the name Oscillibacter sp. Its description in RNAcentral is "T-box sequence". It matches the Rfam family "T-box leader". Rfam says of the family: Uncharged tRNA acts as the effector for transcription antitermination of genes in the T-box leader family. T-boxes are found upstream of many aminoacyl-tRNA synthetase genes and some amino acid biosynthetic genes usually in Gram-positive bacteria. Lineage: Bacteria; Bacillati; Bacillota; Clostridia; Eubacteriales; Oscillospiraceae. The record is from RNAcentral.